RNAcentral lists this transfer RNA (75 nucleotides) under Cupido argiades. RNAcentral's name for it is "tRNA-His". The record is from RNAcentral. Lineage: Eukaryota; Metazoa; Arthropoda; Insecta; Lepidoptera; Lycaenidae.
ACUUAAAUAAUUUAAAUAAAAUAUUGAUUUGUGGUAUCAAAAAUGUAAUAAUUCAGUUAAUAAUUACUUUAAGUU